CCCUAUCAGGUCUGGAUGGUAGGGUAUUGGCCUACCAUGCCUUUAACGGGUAACGGAGAAUUAGGGUUCGAUUCCGGAGAGGGGGCCUGAGAAAUGGCCACCACAUCCAAGGAAGGCAGCAGGCGCGUAAAUUACCCAAUCCUGACACAGGGAGGUAGUGACAAUAAAUAACAUCGCAGGGCUUUUUAAAGUCUUGCGUUAGGAAUGAGAACAAUUUAAACCCCUUAUCGAGGAUCAAUUGGAGGGCAAGUCUGGUGCCAGCAGCCGCGGUAAUUCCAGCUCCAAUAGCGUAUACUAAAGUUGUUGCAGUUAAAAAGCUCGUAGUUGAAUUUCUGGAUGCGAAAGAUGGUCGGCACCUCACGGUGUCUGUACUUUUCAUUCGCGUCCAUCCUCGGGAGGAACGUGUGGGGCUUUAAGUAGUUCUGCUCGGGAAUCUCGUCAUUUACUGUGAGCAAAAUAGAGUGUUCAAAGCAGGCUUAUGCCGUUGAAUAUAUUAGCAUGGAAUAAUAAGAUACGACUUUGGUCUAUUUUGUUGGUUUGCAUUCCAAAGUAAUGAUUAAUAGGGAUAGUUGGGGG
This 576-nucleotide ribosomal RNA is filed under the name uncultured Chrysophyceae. Its description in RNAcentral is "SSU rRNA". It matches the Rfam family "Eukaryotic small subunit ribosomal RNA", at positions 310 to 888 of the family's 1831-position model. The record is from RNAcentral. Lineage: Eukaryota; Chrysophyceae.